AGAGUUUGAUCCUGGCUCAGGAUGAACGCUGGCGGCGUGCCUAACACAUGCAAGUCGAACGGGGUUAAGUGAAAUUUUCGGAUGGAUCUUAACUUAGUGGCGGACGGGUGAGUAACGCGUGGAUAACCUGCCUCACACAGGGGGAUAGCAGCUGGAAACGGCUGGUAAUACCGCAUAAGACCACGGCCCCGCAUGGGGCUGUAGUAAAAGAUUUAUCGGUGUGAGAUGGAUCCGCGUCUGAUUAGCCAGUUGGCGGGGUAACGGCCCACCAAAGCGACGAUCAGUAGCCGGCCUGAGAGGGUGAACGGCCACAUUGGGACUGAGACACGGCCCAAACUCCUACGGGAGGCAGCAGUGGGGAAUAUUGCACAAUGGGCGCAAGCCUGAUGCAGCAACGCCGCGUGAGUGAAGAAGUAUUUCGGUAUGUAAAGCUCUAUCAGCAGGGAAGAAAGGCUCUUCGGAGAGAUGACGGUACCUGACUAAGAAGCCCCGGCUAACUACGUGCCAGCAGCCGCGGUAAU
RNAcentral lists this ribosomal RNA (521 nucleotides) under uncultured bacterium. RNAcentral describes it as "bacterial SSU rRNA". It matches the Rfam family "Bacterial small subunit ribosomal RNA", at positions 8 to 524 of the family's 1533-position model. The record is from RNAcentral.